CAUGCAGGCGGUUAGAUAAGUUAGGUGUGAAAUCCCCGAGCUUAACGUGGGCAUUGCAUCUGAAACUGUAUAGCUAGAGUUCUGUAGAGGGGGGUAGAAUUCCAGGUGUAGCGGUGAAAUGCGUAGAGAUCUGGAGGAAUACCGAUUGCGAAGGCAGCCCCCUGGACAGAGACUGACGCUCAAAUGCGAAAGCGUGGGGAUCAAACAGGAUUAGAUACCCCUGUA
Molecule: ribosomal RNA, 225 nt
Filed under: uncultured Thorsellia sp.
Lineage: Bacteria; Pseudomonadati; Pseudomonadota; Gammaproteobacteria; Enterobacterales; Thorselliaceae
Description: partial 16S ribosomal RNA
Rfam family: Bacterial small subunit ribosomal RNA
Source: RNAcentral